AUUGAACGCUGGCGGCAGGCUUAACACAUGCAAGUCGAGCGGAGCGAGGGUGCUUGCACCUUAGCUUAGCGGCGGACGGGUGAGUAAUGCUUAGGAAUCUGCCUAUUAGUGGGGGACAACAUUCCGAAAGGAAUGCUAAUACCGCAUACGCCAUACGGUGGAAAGCAGGGGAUCUUCGGACCUUGCGCUAAUAGAUGAGCCUAAGUCGGAUUAGCUAGUUGGUGGGGUAAAGGCCUACCAAGGCGACGAUCUGUAGCGGGUCUGAGAGGAUGAUCCGCCACACUGGGACUGAGACACGGCCCAGACUCCUACGGGAGGCAGCAGUGGGGAAUAUUGGACAAUGGGCGGAAGCCUGAUCCAGCCAUGCCGCGUGUGUGAAGAAGGCCUUUUGGUUGUAAAGCACUUUAAGCGAGGAGGAGGCUACUUAGAUUAAUACUCUGGGGUAGUGGACGUUACUCGCAGAAUAAGCACCGGCUAACUCUGUGCCAGCCGCCGCGGUAA
RNAcentral lists this ribosomal RNA (501 nucleotides) under uncultured bacterium. RNAcentral's name for it is "partial 16S ribosomal RNA". It matches the Rfam family "Bacterial small subunit ribosomal RNA", at positions 30 to 523 of the family's 1533-position model. The record is from RNAcentral.